ACCAACCACAACCACAACUGCAGCACCAACCACUACAACUACAGCUACCACUACAACUGCAGCACAAAGCACUACAACCCCUAGAGAAGGGUUAACCACCAUUCAAAUUCCAACAGGCCCACAAGCACUUGCACAUCUAAAGAUUAGGAUGACUACAUACGGACAGGUUAGCAAUGCAACCAUCAUUGCCCUUCUUGAACAGUUUCUUAACACCCAGGUCCUGAAUGGAAUACCCCACAUUCUCUCUGUGACAAACAUUAAAAAAGUUGGAGCAUAAAAAUUGAAUGUGGACAGAAGUCAAAAAUGAAAAUAUGAAGACAAGAGUUUAACAGUGGGUUAGUAGAUUUGUUUCAACAUGAUCCGGAGCGGCAGUUUGCCUCAGUCGGUUCAUCAUAUCCUGAAUGAUGAGUACACUGGUGUGAGAAGGAGACAUCAGCUGUGCUGCAGUGGUCGACAACCAGAUGGACUUGGAUUGCUCUGUGAAUGUAUGAAACCUAAACCUGGG
Oreochromis aureus is the source of this 505-nucleotide long non-coding RNA. RefSeq lists it as uncharacterized. The record is from RefSeq and is a predicted model, not a curated record. Lineage: Eukaryota; Metazoa; Chordata; Actinopteri; Cichliformes; Cichlidae. The transcript has 3 exons.